RNAcentral lists this ribosomal RNA (279 nucleotides) under uncultured bacterium. RNAcentral describes it as "partial 16S ribosomal RNA". It matches the Rfam family "Archaeal small subunit ribosomal RNA", at positions 456 to 735 of the family's 1478-position model. The record is from RNAcentral.
UGCCAGCCGCCGCGGUAAUACUAGCGGUCCAAGUCGCAGCCAUUUUUAUUGGGUCUAAAACAUCCGUAGCUUGCUUGAUAAGUUUCUUGUGAAAUUUUAUGUCUCAAACAUGAAGCGUGCAAGAAGUACUGUCAAGCUAGAGACUGGUAGACGUAAGAAGUACGUUCAGAGUAGCGGUAAAAUGUGUUAAUCCUGGACGGACUCACAAAGCGAAGGCAUCUUACGAGGACAGUUCUGACAGUAAGGGAUGAAGGCUAGGGGCGCAAAACGGAUUAGAUA